Molecule: long non-coding RNA, 318 nt
Organism: Engraulis encrasicolus (European anchovy)
Lineage: Eukaryota; Metazoa; Chordata; Actinopteri; Clupeiformes; Engraulidae
Exons: 3
Source: RefSeq, a predicted model, not a curated record
GCCCCACCCGCCAUCGGCCAAAAUUAUUUUAGCGUGCGAGUGGACUAGCCUGCAUUUGGGAGCCUACUACUCUGAGUUGGAGAGCCAACGGAAGGAACUUAGACAAGGUGUGUCCACCUCUGCGCCCGAGGGACAGGGGGCGUCCGUCGCGAGGGGACAGGAAAAGGGAGUAUCCAUCAGCCAGUAAGAGCUCCUGGAGAUUGCAGUCAGUUUCCUGAUAGUGUCCAUUUCGGUCGACACAGAGGAACCGCGAUGACGCCAGGCCCUUGAUGACGGCAUGCCCUGCCUUUAUGGACCGCAGCUCCAGAGAAGCUAUAG